Molecule: long non-coding RNA, 523 nt
Filed under: Coturnix japonica (Japanese quail)
Lineage: Eukaryota; Metazoa; Chordata; Aves; Galliformes; Phasianidae
Description: lncRNA (ENSCJPG00005008427.1)
Source: RNAcentral
AAGAGAGGAGGAUGGAGGCUUCAGAAUUGAAGGAACCAGUAGGAUUUGGGGAUGAAGUACUGUGGCUACAUGUAAAGAUUUGAGAACCAAGUGUAAACUGGUGCAGUGUUUCAGAGCCCAUUAUGACAAUCUGUACGGUGUUAUACCGAUGCCUUUAUUGCAGCACAGUCCAUUUGUGAAAGGGGAUGACAAGAAGUGGAGAAGAAACUGAGAAGAAUCUGUAGAACAGCUACUGCUUCAGAGGUAUGGGAGUUUGUUAGGUUAUGAAUGAAAAAUCACUGAAAUACGAACUUAACUAUUCUGUUUAGUAUCUUGGUUUUGUUCCUGCAAAAGUCAUUAUGUAUGUAAAAGCCAGUACGUGAUAAAGAUGAAUCCAGUGCCUGGAACGUGGGAAAGGAAUGGAGGUGGUGUCACAUAGGUGGUGCUGUCUCACAUAAAAGUAAGAUGUUUGGUCCUGUAUGGGGUGGUGCAGGUCAUCUGUGUGUUUGAGUGAUAUUAAGGUGUGAAGUGGGAGCUGCUACUA